This is a small nucleolar RNA of Echinops telfairi (small Madagascar hedgehog), 211 nucleotides long. RefSeq annotates it as small nucleolar RNA U3. The transcript has a single exon. The record is from RefSeq and is a predicted model, not a curated record. NCBI's taxonomy places the organism in Eukaryota, Metazoa, Chordata, Mammalia, Afrosoricida, Tenrecidae.
AAGACUAUACUUUCAGGGAUCAUCUCUAUAGUUGGUUCCUAGAGAACCUUCUCUGAUCGUGUGGAGCCCCGAAGCCCAUGAGGAAGAGGUGCAGCACUCUCUCCUGAGCUUGAAGCCGGCUCUUGGUGCUGCUUUACUGCAGUAGCCAUUUGCCAUUGAUGAUCGUUCUUUGCCUUUGUGCAGGUCGAGAAGGGGCUUUCAUUUAAAAAAA